UACGGAGGGUGCAAGCGUUAUCCGGAUUCACUGGGUUUAAAGGGUGUGUAGGCGGGUAGUUAAGUCAGUGGUGAAAUCUCCAGGCUCAACCUGGAAACUGCCAUUGAUACUAUCUAUCUUGAAUAUCGUUGAGGUGGGCAGAAUAUAUCAUGUAGCGGUGAAAUGCAUAGAUAUGAUAUAGAAUACCGAUUGCGAAGGCAGCUCACUAAACGUGUAUUGACGCUGAGGCACGAAAGCGUGGGGAUCAAACAGG
RNAcentral lists this ribosomal RNA (253 nucleotides) under uncultured bacterium. RNAcentral's name for it is "partial 16S ribosomal RNA". It matches the Rfam family "Bacterial small subunit ribosomal RNA", at positions 524 to 776 of the family's 1533-position model. The record is from RNAcentral.